This 70-nucleotide transfer RNA is filed under the name Rattus norvegicus (Norway rat). It matches the Rfam family "tRNA". Rfam says of the family: Transfer RNA (tRNA) molecules are approximately 80 nucleotides in length. Their secondary structure includes four short double-helical elements and three loops (D, anti-codon, and T loops). Further hydrogen bonds mediate the characteristic L-shaped molecular structure. tRNAs have two regions of fundamental functional importance: the anti-codon, which is responsible for specific mRNA codon recognition, and the 3' end, to which the tRNAs corresponding amino acid is attached (by aminoacyl-tRNA synthetases). tRNAs cope with the degeneracy of the genetic code in two manners: having more than one tRNA (with a specific anti-codon) for a particular amino acid; and 'wobble' base-pairing, i.e. permitting non-standard base-pairing at the 3rd anti-codon position. The record is from Rfam by way of RNAcentral. Lineage: Eukaryota; Metazoa; Chordata; Mammalia; Rodentia; Muridae.
GAGAGAUGGCUCAGUGGUUAAGGGCACUCACUGCUAUUUCAGAGGGUCUGGGUUCAAAUCCCAGCACUCA